This 18-nucleotide unclassified non-coding RNA is filed under the name Mus musculus (house mouse). RNAcentral's name for it is "oocyte_clustered_small_RNA10445". The record is from RNAcentral. Lineage: Eukaryota; Metazoa; Chordata; Mammalia; Rodentia; Muridae.
UAAAAACACUGGCUGGCU